This 942-nucleotide non-coding RNA is filed under the name Tetrabrachium ocellatum (four-armed frogfish). Its description in RNAcentral is "12S rRNA". It matches the Rfam family "Bacterial small subunit ribosomal RNA". The record is from RNAcentral. Lineage: Eukaryota; Metazoa; Chordata; Actinopteri; Lophiiformes; Tetrabrachiidae.
CAAGAGUUUGGUCCUGGUUCUUCUGUCAGUUGUGGUUUAUUUUACACAUGCAAGUUUCCGCCCCCCGGUGAGUAUACCCUAAAACACCCUUAUGGAAUUUAGGAGUGAGCAUCAGGCACUACAGGUUUUGCCCAUGACGCUUCGCAGUGUGUCACACCUUCAAAGGUAGCAGCAGUGAUUAACAUUAAGCAAUGAGUGUAAGCUUGACUUAGUUAAAACUAAAAGGGCCGGCCCAAUCCGUGCCAGCCGCCGCGGUUACACGGGUGGCCCAAGUUGACAGGUUGCGGUGUAAAGGGUGGUUAAGAUUUAGAUAAAGUAAAGUUGAAGGCAUUUAGGGCUGUUAUAGGCAUAUAAGUGGAGGAAUUUCUUAUACGAAGGUGGCUUUACAAUUUCUGACCCCACGAAAACCAGGACCCAAACUGGGAUUAGAUACCCCAUUAUGCCUGGAGUUAAACAAAGGUGAUAUAUAAUAAGUCACCCACCCGGGGACAACGAGCAAUAGCUUAAAACCCAAAGGACUUGGCGGUGCUUUACCCCUCCUAGAGGAGCCUGUUCUGUAAUCGAUUUUCCUCGUUCAACCUAACCCUUUUUAGCUUUUACAGUCUGUAUACCUCCGUCGCCAGCUUACUCUGUAAGGAUUAAAAAGUUAGCAAUUCCGGCAUAGCCUGAAACGACAGGUCAAGGUGCAGUCAAUGAAGGGGGAUGUAAUGGGCUACAUUUACUGAUUAGUAAAUACGGACAAUGCGUUGAAAUAUGUAUUUGAAGGUGGAUUUAGUAGUAAGCAUGAAGUAGAGAGUUAUGCUGAAUGUGGCUCAGAAGCACGCACAUACCGCCCGUCGCCCUCCCUCAAGCUCGUUUUACAAGUUUCAUAAACACAUAAAUUGCUUUAAGGGGAGGUAAGUCGUAACAAGGUAAGUGUACUGGAAAGUGUGCUUGGAAAAU